RNAcentral lists this long non-coding RNA (2080 nucleotides) under Anas platyrhynchos (mallard). Its description in RNAcentral is "lncRNA (ENSAPLG00020011555.1)". The record is from RNAcentral. Lineage: Eukaryota; Metazoa; Chordata; Aves; Anseriformes; Anatidae.
AUGUCCUCGUGUCCACGCUUCGUCCCUUUGCCACCUUCACCUUCCUCCACGCGAUGUCCUGACCGUGUCCCCGUGGCCACCACCGCCAGGGCAGGCCCUGUCCCCUCUGUGUCACCAGCACCGAGGAUUAUCCGCGUGGGACCCACGCCGUGGCCGUGGAACAGCCCCCCCGUGGCAGCAAACACCCAGAAUCACGCAGCUCGUGGUCGAGCGGGACAACUGCUCAAAGGCAGGAGGUGUGGAGGGAUGUCACGUAGCGUCUCCAUCCAUGUACACCCCGUUGGGUCAAAGGUACAGGCGCUGUCGGCGAUGAACCCGCAGGAAAAACCUGCUCAGCUAAUAACACUGCUGCCUCGUGCGCAGGGAUUCGGAAACCACUGACUCGAGUCGCUCUGUGCUGCUGUUUACUUGACGAUCUGGUGCGGACGCUGUUUCCUCUUCUGCUUCACAGUCAGGAAAACUCAGCGCAGGAAAACUGCCAAGCGACAGAAACGUUUAGGAUCCGCCAGCUAAGUGUGCCCAGGGUGCACUUAGUUCUGUCUGCGUGCACAUCUUUGUUAACGCGCGGUCGUUUACUCGGCUCUGCUCUCUACGCCUUUCCCUCAUCCUCUGUUUAACCCGACAGGACGCAUCAGCUUUGCUCCAGCCUUAAUUCAAAGAGAAGGAAAAUCAGAAGUAUCUAAAAUUAGAAGCGUAAGCAAUCAUCGCUCCAGAAACAUGGGAGAGGAAAUACCUGAGGAGCAAUGCCUCAGCUCCCAGUAACAAACGCCCAGCACCGGUCCCCUCACAUUAGCAAUAGUGUGGUCUGCUUUUAAAAAUACCAAACGUAAAGGCUGUGCAGUUUUCAGAACAGGUUUCUAGAUUUCUUUCUCCUAAGCGCAAACAACUCAGGCCAAAGGGGAACUCUUUAUUUCAGGUCUCAAUUUUCCCAACCACGUAAAACGCAAAUGACUGUUUACACACACCUCCCGGCUCAUCCCCUUGCUAUGCUGCUUUUUGUCUCCCGACGAGUAAUUCACCUUGGUUCUUCGCAGAGAGAAAAUCAACCCAAAAAAGCGAUCGGAGGCCGGGGGGAUGCAACGUGCCCCCGGCAUCCCCUGCCCCGCCGCACAUCACGGUGCUGUCGCACCGCGUUGGCAUGCGUUUGCUCGUCUCACCAGGGCAGAGAAGCAAACGAGACGCACGCUCCGUACGUGCGGCAGGAGCCCUGCUCUGCCCGUCAACACCGGGCGUUGGCCUGAGGGACGCAGGCGUUCGGGGAGGAUGCAAAACCUCAUGCAAAGUCUGCCUGAUGGCAGCCGCUGAGCCGAGCGCGCGGGUACCUUCGGGAGCGGCUGCUGGAGCAGGAGGCUGGUUGCGUUCGCUCCAUGCUCGGCGUGCUACGACUGCGGGGCAUUUGGGACCUGUUCUUCCUGCCCAUGGCACCCUUCCCGUGGGGGCAGGGGCCUGCCUCCACCCCCAGCAGUCGCUCCGGCUGUAAUGAAGCAACGAGGCGCAGCGAGCCGCGACUGGAGGUAGCGACCUGCCCCAGGAGACACGGCGUUUUGACCUAAUUGCUGUUCUCCUCCUCGAUGCUACCAACAGGGCCUGAGGGAUUCCGGCUUCCCACUUCCCUCAAAACUUUGCAGGGAGCUUUGGGAGUUCGAAGGCGCCCAACAAGGCGCGUGGGAGCCUGGUGUCGGGGGGGGGAGCGGUGGUGCCAAGGGACGCGGCCUCCUCGCACACCCACACCCAGCACACGUCCCGGGGCGACGUCCCCUGCUUGGCCCUGAGCAUCGCUCCGACCCCGCUCACCUCCUGGAGGACCCCACAGCCCCACAACUGCCCCGAUUCCCCCCAAAAACCCCGGGACGAGCCCUUGCAGCCUCCCCAAAUCCCCUCCGUGACCCCAACACCAGUGGGUGACAAGCGCUGGCAGCCCGGCCACGCUGCGUGGCCGCACCAGGAGCACACGCUGCCUGCCGGGGAUGCUCGCACCCCCUCUCUGCCACCUCCCCGCGCCCCCCUCCCCAACCCCGGGGGCUGCGGUCCCCCCACGGCCCGGGGGGGGGGCACAGCAGGACCCGGGCACCCCCCGCGG